This 328-nucleotide ribosomal RNA is filed under the name uncultured eukaryote. RNAcentral's name for it is "partial 18S ribosomal RNA". It matches the Rfam family "Eukaryotic small subunit ribosomal RNA", at positions 1470 to 1796 of the family's 1831-position model. The record is from RNAcentral.
CCCUUAGAUGUCCUGGGCCGCACGCGCGCUACACUGAGUGUCUGAGAUACGAGUCUGCCUGGUCCGGCAAGGUCUAGGUAAUCGCUAAAAGACACAUCAUGCUUGGGAUAGAUUAUUGCAAUUAUUAAUCUUGAACGAGGAAUUCCUAGUAAACGCAAAUCAUCAAUUUGCAUUGAUUACGUCCCUGCCCUUUGUACACACCGCCCGUCGCACCUACCGAUUGAAUGGUCCGGUGAGGACUCGGGAUUGUGACCAGUUUCCUUCAUUGGGAGUUGGUUGUGAGAACUUGUCCAAACCUUAUCAUUUAGAGGAAGGUGAAGUCGUAACA